CAAAGGACGCAGGGCUUAGGAGGCGUAAUUGCACUUGAGGAAUCCUGCGGGUUGUCCCUAAGGUUAAGGGUCCGGUGGUGUAAGAAGACAGUGAAUUUAGUUCCUCGAAGAAGUGGUUUUGAAGUGUUUCUGUUUUCCCUGUUCUCUCGUACAAGGCGAGGGUAAAGACUGAGGAUUAUUAAUCUUUAUGCAUCUGCAGGAGUGAGGAAUCCUUGAAUAUUUUUUUAAUUAACGAGCAGUGCCCCUGGUAGACACAUCACAUAUAUUUCCUCGUUUAAUUUUUAAACCAACUUUUUGAAGGGAAGAGCCAUUUCAACCCGGAUUUAUCUGAUGCCAAAUGAAUGAGAAAUUAAUUUUCCAGAAGAAUUUCAUGUGCUUGGCUACUUGAAAGAUCGCUUUAUACUUGCCUGAAGAUUUUAUUUACUUAUUUGACCGAGGGAGAGACAGUGGAAGAGGAAACACAAGCAGGGGAAGUGGGAGAGAAGCAGGUUUCCUGCCAAGCAAGGAGCUCUGGAUGCUCGGCUUGAUCCCAGGACCCCCGGAUCAUUACCGCAGCGGAAGGCAGACGUCUAACGACUGAGCCACCUAGGCACCC
Molecule: long non-coding RNA, 595 nt
Organism: Lutra lutra (Eurasian river otter)
Lineage: Eukaryota; Metazoa; Chordata; Mammalia; Carnivora; Mustelidae
Exons: 3
Source: RefSeq, a predicted model, not a curated record